UACGGGGGGGGCUAGCGUUGUUCGGAAUCACUGGGCGUAAAGGGCGCGUAGGUGGCGCUCCAAGUCUGUGGUGAAAGCUCGACGCUCAACGUCGAGUCGGCCAUAGAGACUGGAGGGCUCGAGCACUGUAGGGGCAGAUGGAAUUCCGGGUGUAGCGGUGGAAUGCGUAGAGAUCCGGAAGAACACCGGUGGCGAAGGCGGUCUGCUGGGCAGUUGCUGACACUGAGGCGCGACAGCGUGGGGAGCAAACAGG
Molecule: ribosomal RNA, 253 nt
Filed under: uncultured bacterium
Lineage: Bacteria
Description: partial 16S ribosomal RNA
Rfam family: Bacterial small subunit ribosomal RNA
Source: RNAcentral